ACGAACAGUUAUUGUGCUGACGUUGCUUCCAGAGGCAGUUUGGAACUCGGUAGUGAGUGUUGCAACCGAGGACAGUUGAUUUUCACCACUCGGCGGUCUCGUUCUUWGAGCUUGUGGAGCCGUUGUUGRUCCUAGACGAUUCCACUUCACAAUAACGCAUUACAGUUGACCGGGGCAGCUAUAGCAGGACAGAAAUCUGACAAACUGAGCUCUUCAGUUAGGCCAUUUUACUGCCAAUGUUUGUCUAUGGAGAUCGCAUGGUUGUCUGCUAGAUCUUAUAUUCCUGUCAGUAARGGGUGUAGCUGAAAUAGCCAAAGACACUAAUACUCAAAUUGUGAAAAUUAUGAGUGAGAAAUGUUGGUGGGAUGGAGUUCUGGCCUGCCUGGUGUCAUCACCAGGAAGUAAAUUAGUUAAUUGAUCAAAAAGAGAGUUCCCAACCUCUCUGCCGAUAACAGCUAGUUUUCAGCAGGUUGACAUUUGUCAUGAAUCUUGCCCUGGAAGCAGAACUGAGCUAUUUCUGCUAAAUGGGCCAGUUGCAAAGUCAAAAUUGGUUAUAUCAUAAAAAAUGUAUGUAAACUAAAUUAGCUUUUUGGUCUUAAUUUAAGGUUAGGCAUUAGGGUUAGCAGUGUGGUUAAGGUUAGGUUUAAAAUGAGACAUUAUGACUAUGUGGCUGUCAGCAGCUAGUGACCACUCUGUAGAGCUGCCUCCAGWMCAACGUUCAUGACAAUAAAUGCCAACCGGACAGUUUCUCCUACAUAACAGAAAUUGCUCUUUUUGACCAUUUUAAUUGAAAAUAAUCACUAAGGUACUUAACUGUUACCCAUAAACGAUUUAAUGUUGAGAUCAAAACAGCUGUAUUAGACCUUUAAGAACACUGCAGAGGGAAUGUAAUGUUAGGAGCUGACAGAACUAUARCUGCUCACUGAAAUACAUUGCCAUCUGCACAUUGAAGUGACGUUAUGCCCACCUAAAUAAAUCAUGACAUCCUGA
This is a non-coding RNA of Salvelinus sp. IW2-2015, 990 nucleotides long. The record is from RefSeq and is a predicted model, not a curated record. Lineage: Eukaryota; Metazoa; Chordata; Actinopteri; Salmoniformes; Salmonidae.